RNAcentral lists this ribosomal RNA (233 nucleotides) under uncultured bacterium. Its description in RNAcentral is "partial 16S ribosomal RNA". It matches the Rfam family "Bacterial small subunit ribosomal RNA", at positions 118 to 347 of the family's 1533-position model. The record is from RNAcentral.
UGAGUAACCUGCCCUUAACUCUGGGAUAAGCCUGGGAAACUGGGUCUAAUACCGGAUAUGACUCCUCAUCGCAUGGUGGGGGGUGGAAAGCUUUAUUGUGGUUUUGGAUGGACUCGCGGCCUAUCAGCUUGUUGGUGAGGUAAUGGCUCACCAAGGCGACGACGGGUAGCCGGCCUGAGAGGGUGACCGGCCACACUGGGACUGAGACACGGCCCAGACUCCUACGGGAGCAG